Molecule: unclassified non-coding RNA, 314 nt
Filed under: plant metagenome
Description: partial contains 5.8S ribosomal RNA, internal transcribed spacer 2, and large subunit ribosomal RNA
Rfam family: 5.8S ribosomal RNA (bases 1-105)
Source: RNAcentral
GAAAUGCGAUAAUUAAUGUGAAUUGCAGAAUUCAGUGAAUCAUCGAGUCUUUGAACGCACAUUGCGCCCCCUGGUAUUCCGGGGGGCAUGCCUGCCCGAGCGUCAUUGCUGCCCUCAAGCACGGCUUGUGUGUUGGGCUUCCGUCCCUGGCAACGGGGACGGGCCCAAAAGGCAGUGGCGGCACCAUGUCUGGUCCUCGAGCGUAUGGGGCUUUGUCACCCGCUCCCGUAGGUCCAGCUGGCAGCUAGCCUCGCAACCAAUCUUUUUAACCAGGUUGACCUCGGAUCAGGUAGGGAUACCCGCUGAACUUAAGC